GAGAGGGAGCACACGGCUGACGGUGGUCAAUUCGAGACCGCUGAGGAAAGUCCUCCCACCGCUCAGGUACACAGCCGUAUGCAAAUACGGGUGGCGAGAGUCACAGCUCUGGAACAGAAACGACACGUCCUCUUCUGAGCAAUGAAGCAGCAGUUGAAGCUGUUGAGCGUCGAGGCUGAGGGACCGAUGGAACGGCGAAUCUCUGUGGGUGCAAGUUGGAACAGGGUCGCUACGGGUGCCUGACCCAAUGAUCCGGGUACAACGCUAAGCCGAAUGCCGUAAAAACAGGAGGAGGCUUAUUACUCCGACUC
Molecule: non-coding RNA, 311 nt
Organism: Methanocorpusculum labreanum Z
Lineage: Archaea; Methanobacteriati; Methanobacteriota; Methanomicrobia; Methanomicrobiales; Methanocorpusculaceae
Rfam family: Archaeal RNase P
About the family: Ribonuclease P (RNase P) is a ubiquitous endoribonuclease, found in archaea, bacteria and eukarya as well as chloroplasts and mitochondria.
Source: Rfam